RNAcentral lists this long non-coding RNA (1230 nucleotides) under Ananas comosus (pineapple). RNAcentral describes it as "long non-coding RNA (ACOM_LNC043502)". The record is from RNAcentral. Lineage: Eukaryota; Viridiplantae; Streptophyta; Magnoliopsida; Poales; Bromeliaceae.
AUCUUAUAGCAGCUUGUGUGCAAAAUUAUAAGUUUAUUACUAAGGGCCCGUUUGGUUCAAGUUAUCCCGGCAAGAUUACAGGCAAUCCUGCCAGGAUAACUGUGUUUGGUUAAUCCGCUAUGUAAUGUAGUCGUUAAUGUAACAUUACAAAUCGAACAGAAUUACAUCGAAAAUAUUAAUGGGAGGGGGGUCGUAUAUCUUGCAUUAUUGAAACCCGUUAAUACUACAUAUUAUGUAAAAUGACAAUUUUACCCUCCAACAACCCCAAAUCUAAUUAACUGUAUUAUUUUCAUCUCUCUCGCCUUCCCCCUCUCUCUCGCAUGCCCUUUUCUCUCGCUCUCUCUCUCGCCUUCUUCCCUCUCUCUCGCACGCCCCUUUCUCUCGCUCUCUCUCUCUCACGUCUCUCUAUCUAUAUCUCUUUCUCUCUCGUGCACGAACACUUAUAAUUUUCUAUUGCAUCGUUGGUUUAGACUUUUUUAGUUUUUUUUUAUUAGUGCAAGAACUUUUAAAUUUUUAUAAUGUAAGUGUUUAAGCUUUCACUUUUGGAUGCUAUUAUAAUGUGUGUGGAAGUUUCGACUUUAUAAAAUAUUUAUUCUAUAUGGUGCUUUAUUAAUUUCUUAACUUGGUAAUAGUACUGUUUGAUAUUAAACAUGAAAAAUAUAUAUUCUAUAUGUUUGGUUAAUGAUUUUGUUUAUAGAUGAGUUUUAAAAUUGAAAUUUAUUUGUUAUUGUAUGAUUUUUCAUUAUGUAUAAUGAUCUUUUUUCUAUUUAUUCUUUUAUGGGUUGAAAUUAAUUUUUUGCAACGUUAAUUUUUUUUCAUGUUAGGUCUUUUUAUUUUAUUAAUUAUUAAUAUAAUUAAUUUACUACUGUAAAUUAUAUUUUUGUAAAUAAAAUAAUAUUCAACUGACCACAAUAAGGGCAAUUUUGAAAAAAACUAUGCUUUUAUGUCAGGAUUACUAAAUUUUAUAAACUGAACCAAACAUAUUAAUGUUAUAAACACUGUAAUCUAGUAUUACAUUACUGCAUUAAACCAAACGCGUUAAUGCAGCAUCAGUAGUAAUCUCACGCCGAAAUCUAAGAUCCCUGGAUAUGUCAAGAUACUUUGUAAUAUUAUAUAACUCGAACCAAAUGGGCCCUAAGAGUGUAAAUAGACUGCAAAAAAGAAAAGAGAAUAGUUGAUAGCUUUAAAAAAAAAAAUUAGUAAUAUAUAAAAAGUGAAAAAAUCUGUAAA